UACGAAGGGGGCUAGCGUUGUUCGGAAUUACUGGGCGUAAAGCGUGCGUAGGUUGUUAUUCAAGUUAGUGGUGAAAGCCCAGAGCUUAACUCUGGAACUGCCAUUAAAACUGAAUAGCUAGAGAGUGUUAGAGGUGAGUGGAAUUUCUAGUGUAGGAGUGAAAUCCGUAGAUAUUAGAAGGAACAUCAAUGGCGAAGGCAGCUCACUGGGUCACAUCUGACACUGAGGCACGAAAGCGUGGGUAGCAAACAGG
Molecule: ribosomal RNA, 253 nt
Filed under: uncultured bacterium
Lineage: Bacteria
Description: partial 16S ribosomal RNA
Rfam family: Bacterial small subunit ribosomal RNA
Source: RNAcentral